This 371-nucleotide ribosomal RNA is filed under the name uncultured bacterium. Its description in RNAcentral is "bacterial SSU rRNA". It matches the Rfam family "Bacterial small subunit ribosomal RNA", at positions 527 to 896 of the family's 1533-position model. The record is from RNAcentral.
GUAGGGGGCAAGCGUUGUCCGGAUUUAUUGGGCGUAAAGAGCGUGUAGGCGGCCAGGGAGGUCCGUUGUGAAAACUCGAGGCUCAACCUCGAGACGCCGAUGGAAACCCCCUGGCUAGAGUCCGGAAGAGGAGAGUGGAAUUCCUGGUGUAGCGGUGAAAUGCGCAGAUAUCAGGAAGAACACCCGUGGCUAAGGCGGCUCUCUAGUACGGUACUGACGCUGAGACGCGAAAGCGUGGGGAGCGAACAGGAUUAGAUACCCUGGUAGUCCACGCCGUAAACGAUGGGUGCUAGGUGUGGGGGGUGUCGACUCCCUCCGUGCCGAAGCUAACGCAUUAAGCACCCCGCCUGGGGAGUACGGCCGCAAGGCUA